This 578-nucleotide long non-coding RNA is filed under the name Gouania willdenowi (blunt-snouted clingfish). RNAcentral describes it as "lncRNA (ENSGWIG00000009642.1)". Lineage: Eukaryota; Metazoa; Chordata; Actinopteri; Blenniiformes; Gobiesocidae. The record is from RNAcentral.
GGACUUGAAAGGUGUCACGACUUGUUCGAAUUACGGGACGUUGCUAGACGUGUUUCAGUUCACUGUGUUUUAAAGCCACAUAUCUCAAGUUUUUACCUAUUUACAUUAACCUCUGCGAUAUUGUCGCAUUCUGUCACAUUCGCUAGUAAAUAAAUAGUCCAAAAUGAAAAGCCACACAAUCCAGAAUGUUCCACUUUGCCCCAGGUUGAUCAUGAACCCCCCCAAACCCAAGGUGUCCCGCCCUCUGUACCCUAAACAUGAAGAACAGCAGCACGUGCAUGACAUAAAGCACCACAAAGGGAAGCAGACAGUUGUGGACAGGGCCAUGUAUUUAAGAAAAUAUUCUCGACACAUCUCACUGGUUCCGAAAAAAAUCAGUUCAGAGGACUCGGAAGAUACGUUUUUGGAAAGCAACUGCACUCCUGUCUCAAAGAAGGAAACAAACUGUGAGGAUGGGAGCGAAGAAUUCAGAGACAGACAUUGUUCCAGCAAGAGAAAGAGAGACGUGGUAAGUGCUAAAAAAUAUUAAGAAUUUGCUGAAACGUUGUUUUUUUUGGGUGUGAUGCAUUAAUUGAAUC